ACAAUGAAACUUCCGUAACUCGCGGCCCGGCCACAAAGAAGGCGGGGUGGCUGAAACGCCAAUGA
The submitters of this non-coding RNA (65 nucleotides) gave its source as unclassified sequences. The record is from Rfam.